GACGAACGCUGGCGGCGUGCUUAACACAUGCAAGUCGAGCGGAAAGGCCCUGCUUUUGUGGGGUGCUCGAGUGGCGAACGGGUGAGUAACACGUGAGUAACCUGCCCUUGACUUUGGGAUAACUUCAGGAAACUGGGGCUAAUACCGGAUAGGAGCUCCUGCUGCAUGGUGGGGGUUGGAAAGUUUCGGCGGUUGGGGAUGGACUCGCGGCUUAUCAGCUUGUUGGUGGGGUAGUGGCUUACCAAGGCUUUGACGGGUAGCCGGCCUGAGAGGGUGACCGGCCACAUUGGGACUGAGAUACGGCCCAGACUCCUACGGGAGGCAGCAGUGGGGAAUAUUGCACAAUGGGCGGAAGCCUGAUGCAGCAACGCCGCGUGCGGGAUGACGGCCUUCGGGUUGUAAACCGCUUUCGCCUGUGACGAAGCGUGAGGGACGGUAAUGGGUAAAGAAGCACCGGCUAACUACGU
Molecule: ribosomal RNA, 467 nt
Filed under: uncultured bacterium
Lineage: Bacteria
Description: partial 16S ribosomal RNA
Rfam family: Bacterial small subunit ribosomal RNA
Source: RNAcentral